GUGUGGAAAAUUUGGGUUUGGACUUUAGUCUAAGCAAUUCAUAUGGUAUUCGAGAUUAGACUAACGUGAUUCCGAGUAUCAGUCGAAACACAUUCCAAAUUUGGAACAGACGGUAUGGUGAUCCUUCGGAGAAAAGUUCACAAUGAAGUAUUUCGGUGUAUUCGAUAGGGUAUAUUAAAAGAAA
RNAcentral lists this small RNA (184 nucleotides) under Arabidopsis thaliana (thale cress). RNAcentral's name for it is "ATSL217120". Lineage: Eukaryota; Viridiplantae; Streptophyta; Magnoliopsida; Brassicales; Brassicaceae. The record is from RNAcentral.